CUAUACGGCCUCCUAGCUUUCU
This 22-nucleotide non-coding RNA is filed under the name Cervus elaphus (red deer). RNAcentral also lists the same sequence under 1 other name. Lineage: Eukaryota; Metazoa; Chordata; Mammalia; Artiodactyla; Cervidae. The record is from RNAcentral.